CUGUCACUCAAAAAAAUAAUUCCAAACGAGAUAGUCCUAAACAAAUCAUGAACAUAAGUUGAAGAUAUUUGAUAAAAAAUAUUAUAUAAUAUACUCCAAGACGUUUACAAGCGACCAAAAUAUGACAUCUUUCCAAGGUUAAAAUAGCUAAGGCACCCAUAUAAAAACAUUUAACUUUUGAGAACAAGAAAAACAUUUAUUUUGGCGCAUUGGACUAAAAUUACUUUUCGAGCUUGAAAAUACAUUGCAAACAUAAACGGUGUAAAAAUGGCAUUCGAAAUGCAAUAAAACUCAGAUUAUAAAUUUAAAAUUUAUCACUGCAAGCUUUUUGAAUACAUUUGAAUUUUUUUUUUGCUCAAUAUAGCAUAUAUAAUAUGGAAUAUAAUUUAUUAAUAAUAUUUAAACAAUUUGCUAUUUGUUCGAUUGUAAAGAAUGCAAACACUAUUUCUUCAUUUUAAAGGCAUUUGUUAAUCGAGUCGAGAGUAUAAGACUUUUGUACAAAUUGUUAGUUGAAUGGAACGUUGCAGUUUAAAUAAUACCAAAACAAGUGGAAAAAAAUAUGGCUGAACAUCAAGUCGAUGUGAUGUUGUUUGUAAGGCUCCUCCAGCUCGGGCGCUAGAAGUCCAGGAAAGCAUCGAUGGCACACUGAUUGGUCAGCUGGUCGAAAUGCCUGUCCUCGUAGAUACGGAUUCCAUCCCUGGCUAUAAUCUCCCGAGGCGAGAGCUGCAAAUGGCAAUUGAAAGACGACUAUUCCAUGGCAUGGUAAACUGAACGUAACUUACACUUAGCAGCUGCUUGGAGCUCAGGUUAUAGUCCUUGUAGAUGGCAAUCCUUUGGAGCGCCAUCACACUGCGGAUACGCUGGCGCGGCUCAAUGGUGAGCAGCUUGCGCAGCACAUCCCUGCCCUCGUGGGUGAGGUGCUGCACCUCCUCCGGCAGGAAGUCCUCGCUGUCGCCGUCACUGUCCUGCAGGCAGCCGUUGAUCUGAGCAAUGGAUGGGGCAUUGGACAGGCCGUCCUCCGGCUCCACGCUCUCACGCCGUCGCAGUAGGUGGCGUUUGAUGUUGGGCGACUGCAAUUAGGAUUAUACAAUAAGAAGCAUUAAUAGUGAAUCCUUUUCACUAGAGCAUACUUUUCAGCGUCCCUCGAAAUUAGCCGCGCCGCAAACCCUCAUGCAAAAUACCUCUGCGCCAAGUUAUACAGGUAUAUAAACAAAUAGAACCCAUGUGUCAGAGUAUCUGAUUUCUGAUUUCAAACCAUCAAGUCUGCAAGAAAUCAUCGGUAGUCACCAAAGCGAUGAGCCAUACUCCUCUGUGUAUCUUCUUCGCCUGUCUGUCAGCUAUUCCAAAAAAUAAUAAUUAGCGUCCGGUGCCAACACGAUCAAUCGAACAAUGCCAAUGGUGACGCCCUGAAUCAUAUCUAAAUAACCAAACAAUUUGCCACAGAUACAUGAACACGCAAAUACGCAAAUCACAAACGUCAGCUUAUGGACAGAGUCAACUAACCACAUGGCUCUGGGGUAUUUU
Drosophila melanogaster (fruit fly) is the source of this 1524-nucleotide non-coding RNA. The record is from Ensembl. NCBI's taxonomy places the organism in Eukaryota, Metazoa, Arthropoda, Insecta, Diptera, Drosophilidae.